Molecule: ribosomal RNA, 520 nt
Filed under: uncultured Glomus
Lineage: Eukaryota; Fungi; Glomeromycota; Glomeromycetes; Glomerales; Glomeraceae
Description: SSU rRNA
Rfam family: Eukaryotic small subunit ribosomal RNA
Source: RNAcentral
AGCAGCCGCGGUAAUUCCAGCUCCAAUAGCGUAUAUUAAAGUUGCUGCAGUUAAAAAGCUCGUAGUUGAAUUUCGGGAUCAAUAUGUUGGUCGUGCCUCGGUACGUACUAGCUUAUUGGUUUCUCCCUUCUGACGAACCAUGAUGUCAUUUAUUUGGUGUUAUGGGAAAUCAGGACUGUUACUUUGAAAAAAUUAGAGUGUUUAAAGCAGGCUCGCGCUUGAAUACAUUAGCAUGGAAUAAUGAAAUAGGACGUUUGAUUCUAUUUUGUUGGUUUCUAGGAUCGACGUAAUGAUUAAUAGGGAUAGUUGGGGGCAUUAGUAUUCAAUUGUCAGAGGUGAAAUUCUUGGAUUUAUUGAAGACUAACUACUGCGAAAGCAUUUGCCAAGGAUGUUUUCAUUAAUCAAGAACGAAAGUUAGGGGAUCGAAGACGAUCAGAUACCGUCGUAGUCUUAACCAUAAACUAUGCCGACUAGGGAUCGGAUGAUGUUAAUUUUUUAAUGACUCAUUCGGCGCCUUACG